AUCCCCCCUCCUCCUGCAUCUUCCCAGCCGCUGAAACAGUGAAGCAGUGCGUUCCUCAGCUCCUGACUGUCUCCCGCAGGCCUGCACUGCUCUGACUGCCAGCAAGAUUAUACACAGAUGAGGACCUGUUCUGAUCCUAAUGCAUCCCGGGUGCCAAAGAAGAUCAAUGAACUGCAAUGACAAGAUUCCAACAAUGUGGAAGUUGAAAACAUUUGAUCAUUUAGUUCUACACAUUUCAUGUACUUGCUCCCCUACCACCACCAAUUUAUUUGAAAGAUCCUAGAACUCAAAUAUGAUAGUUCAAAAUUUGUUCAAUGCACAUAGGAUUACACAAGAUGUAUAGCACAAAAAAGGUCAUUUGGCUCACAGCCCAUGCCAGUGCUCUACUUGAGCCUCCUCCUCUUUUCUCAUCUAAAUCCAACGUUAUAACCCUCUAUUCCCUUCUCCCUCAUAACUUGUCUCACUUCUCUUUAAAUUCAUCAAUAUUCUUUGCUUCAACCACUCCCUGUGGUAGUCUUCCACAAACCAACCGCUCUUUGGGUAAAGUUGUUUCUUUUGAAUCACCAGUUGGAUUUCUUGGUGACUAUUGUACAUUGAUGACCUCCAAUUAUGCUGUUCCCCAGGAGAAGAAAUGUUCUCUCUGUACCCACUCUAUCAAGAUCUUUCAUAAUAUUAAAGACCCUAUUUGGCCACCCU
This is a long non-coding RNA of Carcharodon carcharias (great white shark), 696 nucleotides long. RefSeq lists it as uncharacterized. The transcript has 2 exons. The record is from RefSeq and is a predicted model, not a curated record. Lineage: Eukaryota; Metazoa; Chordata; Chondrichthyes; Lamniformes; Lamnidae.